UACUAUUUUAGAUAUAAAUUAUUAUUAACCUAGGUAGUAUUAGUUAAGGUCUUGAAACUUAAAGAAUUUGGCGGUAUUUUAGUCUAUUUAGAGGAAUCUGUCCCUUAAUCGAUAAUCCACGUUUUACCUUACCAAGUUUUAUUGUAUGUAUACCGCCGUUAUAAUGAAUAUCUUUUUAGGGUUUAAAUAAUUUUCUUGAUUUAUUUUUAAAAAUUAUUUCAGGUCAAGGUGCAGCUUAUGAUUUGGUGGAGAUGGAUUACAUUUAUAUUUAUUAUUGGAUUAUUAAUUGUAAUUAUUAAUAUAAAAUUGGAUUUAAUUGUAACUUUUUGUAGUUUGUAGAGGUGAUUUAUUAGCUCUAUAAUAUGUACACAUCGCCCGUCGCUCUCAUUAAUUAUUUUUGAAUUGAG
RNAcentral lists this ribosomal RNA (407 nucleotides) under Homalosilpha arcifera. RNAcentral's name for it is "partial 12S ribosomal RNA". Lineage: Eukaryota; Metazoa; Arthropoda; Insecta; Blattodea; Blattidae. The record is from RNAcentral.